Non-coding RNA from Kogia breviceps (pygmy sperm whale), 709 nucleotides. The record is from RefSeq and is a predicted model, not a curated record. NCBI's taxonomy places the organism in Eukaryota, Metazoa, Chordata, Mammalia, Artiodactyla, Physeteridae.
AUGCCCGAUAGGAGUGACUUUGUUGGUUUGGAGGCCUUGGCCCAGCCAGACAGUAACAAUAUGAUUUAGGGUGGAGGCUUUGAGUUAUUCGUUCCAUAUAAGCUUGACCUUCUGAGGAGCUGGAUACUGAGAUCACUCUUAUGAGCAGUCAGCCAUGCUUACCCUACUCCUACCAUGAUGAAGCCCCAUUAAAGACUGGACACCAAGAUUUGUUCCUUGUUGGCAGUACCCCAUGCGUUUUGUCACACAUUGAUGCUAGGGAAGUACUGCUUUUCCUGACUCCACGGGGAGAGGAAAACAGAAGCUCCACGCUUCGGCCUUUUUCCUGGAUUCUGCUGUAUGUGCUUCUUCUCUUGGCUGAUUUUGAUCCAUAUCCUUUCCUUGUAAUAUACCGUAACUGGAUUGGUAGGAGCUGUUCGUGCUUAGGCAUAGCCCCCUGUAGAUUUUUCUUGUAGAUCCACUACUGUUGCCUUGAAGUUUGAAGUGUUGCAGUAUGCCAGAGAGAGUGACACCUGUGAAACUAUGGUGCAAAUUAAAUACAAAGAAGAUUUUGACUGUAGGUUUGAGCACACAGAAGAGGAACCAAAUGUCACCAGCACUGUGUGGUACAGUGUGCUUACUUUUCCACAGAGAAAUCACAGUCACUAAAGUAAACCCAGUAAUAGAGAAUGCCCUCACAUCCCUGCAAAACUUUUAUAUUAUAUUUAGA